GGAGAGAUGACCGAGAGGCUGAAGGUGCACGCCUGGAAAGCGUGUGUGCGGGAAACCGUACCGGGGGUUCGAAUCCCCCUCUCUCCGCCA
RNAcentral lists this transfer RNA (90 nucleotides) under Pseudomonadota bacterium. Its description in RNAcentral is "Proteobacteria bacterium (sediment metagenome) tRNA-Ser". It matches the Rfam family "tRNA". From Rfam's summary of the family: Transfer RNA (tRNA) molecules are approximately 80 nucleotides in length. Their secondary structure includes four short double-helical elements and three loops (D, anti-codon, and T loops). Further hydrogen bonds mediate the characteristic L-shaped molecular structure. tRNAs have two regions of fundamental functional importance: the anti-codon, which is responsible for specific mRNA codon recognition, and the 3' end, to which the tRNAs corresponding amino acid is attached (by aminoacyl-tRNA synthetases). tRNAs cope with the degeneracy of the genetic code in two manners: having more than one tRNA (with a specific anti-codon) for a particular amino acid; and 'wobble' base-pairing, i.e. permitting non-standard base-pairing at the 3rd anti-codon position. Lineage: Bacteria; Pseudomonadati; Pseudomonadota. The record is from RNAcentral.